UUUUUCCUAAUACUAUUAUCAACAUCCGCAAUAAACCAAAAUAAUAGUAGCUCAAGGUCUGCACUAAAAACACAAAUUGUAUUUGGCUACUUAGAAUUUCGUGCAGCAGAAUAACCUUUGACAGCACCAUUCCCCCAUACCAGCCACACCAAGAAUAAAGACAGCAGCAAUGCGUUAGUCCUUUGUGCAUGAUCUCCACAAGCU
This 204-nucleotide long non-coding RNA is filed under the name Phaseolus vulgaris (common bean). Its description in RNAcentral is "long non-coding RNA (PVUL_LNC001067)". Lineage: Eukaryota; Viridiplantae; Streptophyta; Magnoliopsida; Fabales; Fabaceae. The record is from RNAcentral.